ACCAAGUCAAGGAAUACCAGAGUGCAUAUUGUGGAGAAUCCUAUGUCAGAUAUAGACAGGCCAAAUGUAAUAUGUGGACGUGGAAUAUGAGUAGGUCUUCCUCUGUUAAAGACUGUUCCAAUUCCACCAGGACCAUGCCUGUUGCAGGUACAAGAGCUGGGCAAAAGUCUGCUACUCCUGAUGAAGAUACACUGAGCUAGAGAGUGAAGGAUGAAAUAAUGGAAAUGGGUAUUUCCUUUGGAAUGUGUUCAGUUCUGAAUCUUCAGCUCUACUCCUUGCUGCAACCACUGUCAACAAGAAGGAAUCAGCAGGGAUGGUAACUCCUCCAAGAGAUCCAACUGGUUGAUUUUGCUAACUGCAGUCCUGAUCAAGUUUGUAUUGACAAGUGAUCUACUAAUGGGCAGAACUUGUACAGCAAUUGUCUGAGCAUUGCUUCAGCCAACUUCACUGUGAGCUAACUGAGGGGUGUGUACCACAGAACAGCAGGAAACUCUAUAUUUAAAAAUUGGUUGCUGGAAGAAGAACAGAGAAAGUAAGCUUUCUGGAGUUCUCUGUAUGCUACAACCUUGUAAUGCAGCGUGCUCAUUCCUCUGUGCUUAUUCUGAGUGAUUUAUUUGCUUGUGUGUGUAUAUGACAGAGAGGGAGAGUCAGAAAGAGAGAGGGGUUUGUUUCAUUGAUGAUGCUACUUGCUGCUUUAACACUCAGUUUUAUUUCUGGUCAGACACUGACAGAGAAAACAAUUUUAUUUCUGGUCAAAUACUGUCAUAAAUAUCACAGCAGCAGCUGGAAUGGUGGAGUAUGUAAUUGAGGAUGUUUCUGAUAUGAACUGCAGGGGCAGGCAGCAUCAUCUUUGGACCUAUGCAUGUACCAAGCCUAAGGAGAUGCAUUGUGCCAACAGUGGUGGAGACCAAGUUCCUUUCCUUUGGGUGAAGUCCAUCUAGCAUGGCAAGAACUGUGGCCAUACUUCCAGGAUUCCCAGAAAACAAAACAAACCAAAACAAACAAACAAAACAACAACAACAACACACAGAACUAUAUUGCGGGUCUGAUUUCUGACAUCUAGGAAUCUGCACUCCCUUCAUUCGCUUCAUGAUCCGCUGUUGGAUCAAACCUGCAACUUAGGAGAGGAAUGAAAUAUAACUGUGAGUACCUGCUGGGUUGUAUUAACCCUUAUUUUGGUUGCUAGCUGGCAAGUUGCCUUUUAUAAACUUUAUUUAUUUAUUUUUUAAAUUACUCAGUUGUGUUCAUUCUUACACACAGCUUAUUUUUUCUUUAGCCUCGGUUCUAACAUCUAGGAGUUGCUAGGCUCACUUGCAAGAAACUAAAUGUUCAUUACCAGUAUGAAAUAUCUGUUUUAAAAGUGUUCAGGAAAAUUUUUAAAUGCCAACAUUAGUUUCAUUGCAUUAUCACUCAUAUUACUGUAUUAGGUAACUCAACUUUUUGUCUCUCUGAGGGAAAAAAUGAGGCAUAGGCAAAUGAAACUACAUGUGCCUGAAAUAUUCUCUGAAAUCCCUAACAAAGACUGCUUGUUCUCUGGAACUCCUGUUCACUUGUCUCCAUUCUUCUAGGGAGACAUUCUGAAAUCCUACUGUCUCUUAACAAUAUCCUGAGCAAACAUGGGCUCCCCCAAGCAUUUCUAUCUCUUAUCUUUACCCUGACCUCUACUGAAAUAUUCUAACCUGCUAAAACUGUCACUGUCAUAUUCCAGGCUCCCACCCACCUCCAGAACCUCCUGGACACUUUCCAGCUACUUGUACAAAAAUUCAACAUUGCUGAACAUGAGACUGACUUGUUCCGGAUAGAGCACUGCCAUGUUUGAAACAGCAAAACACUAGAGCUUGGAUUCAGUAACAAGUCAUAGGCUGCAGGAAAUGCUAUGAUUUUUUUUUCAUGUGCUUCCAUUGACUGGAGAUUGCAAGACAAGAAAGUCAGAACUUAGAAACACUAUUGCCAUACCUCAAAUCUAAAAAAAGAAAAAAAAAAUAAAUAAGAAGGGUUUUAAUGUUCA
This 2008-nucleotide long non-coding RNA is filed under the name Anas platyrhynchos platyrhynchos (common mallard). Its description in RNAcentral is "lncRNA (ENSAPLG00000022765.1)". The record is from RNAcentral. Lineage: Eukaryota; Metazoa; Chordata; Aves; Anseriformes; Anatidae.